This is a long non-coding RNA of Sebastes umbrosus (honeycomb rockfish), 533 nucleotides long. RefSeq lists it as uncharacterized. The record is from RefSeq and is a predicted model, not a curated record. NCBI's taxonomy places the organism in Eukaryota, Metazoa, Chordata, Actinopteri, Perciformes, Sebastidae. The transcript has 3 exons.
AAGUACACAUGCUCAAAACAAGUGGUCAAACUGUAAACUAAUCCAGAAACGGUGAUUAAUUUGCUAUGAAACGUUAUGUAGCUUUCGUUUAUGUUAGCACCCAGUCGCCCCGACCGACGGCUGUAGUGGCCAGCUGUGCAGUGUGUUGACUUACACAGAUGAUAGUAUGACCGCUAUGAUUCACCGAUAAAGUUGUUAGUCUCGUAUUGCAUUACAAACAGUGAGUCUAGCUAGCUUUAUGACGCUUUCUGCUCUGCUAACUUCAUCAAACUGAAUUUACAAACUUUUGGGCUGUUCUAGACAACCUACAAGGCCAGAUGUUGCCUGCCAAACAGACCCAGUAGAGCAACGUUCUGUGCACACACAGUUGUCCUGGAGGACUUUCCAUCCAUUCGUCAGGAGUAAAGGUGUACAGGCUACUGUGUCCUGCAAGGACUUUCGUGGUGGCACAGACCCUGUUCUGUAUGAUGAACCCCUGCCGCUUUUCACAUCCACCCCAGCAAAGAGGCCAGCAAAGAGACCUCGCCUGGAAC